This 1247-nucleotide long non-coding RNA is filed under the name Rattus norvegicus (Norway rat). Its description in RNAcentral is "long non-coding RNA NONRATT005335". Lineage: Eukaryota; Metazoa; Chordata; Mammalia; Rodentia; Muridae. The record is from RNAcentral.
GGAAAAGAGUUGUUUCCUGGGCUAAGUGGACUCCUCCUCUUAUUGGUUGACCAUCUUGGGGCAGCUGUCCUGCCCAGGCUUCGACACACUUUUUCACUUGUUCAACAUCCGCUCACCAGCCUGGCUCGUGAUCAGGACAUGAUGUUGAAGACUGGGACAAAAGACAAGGCCCGUGGGCAGCUCUUAGGCCAGAGGCCAGAUCAUUAACUGUUUUGAUCACUCUGGAGUUGGGGCUUAUGCUAGCACAUAGUAGGUACUCAGACCAGGAGCCUGGUUAGGAGUGGUUAGUGAAGUAGCCUCCCAUACACAUGGACACAAAGUCAUUUAAAAACGUUUGCUGAGUGCCCUCAGGAUGUCAGCUGCUGUAAGGGGGCACAGAGAGCAAGCGCCCAGCCCUGAUGCCUGAGUGGUGCCGUCAACAAGACAGGGUGGAGCACGUGGGCUUUCUUGACCAUUCUGUUGCCUUGGAUCCAUCUAGUUAAAUGCCCACAGAGCUUCCCGCACCCACAUUAAGGGGUUUUUUGUGGUGAGCUCUUGGCAAACAACCAAGACCCCACAAGUUAAUGACCACCUUCAGGUCCUACAGGGAGUCUCUGGGGAGAUAACUCCCUGCUACGUCCAGGCUCUGGGGGGUCCACAAGAGCUGCGAACGGCAUCGUGCAGCCUUGGAGCACGGGGAGGGGUAACUGCUCUGUCCAUCUUGCCCUGGCUGGGGACGCGGCUCAGGAACACUCAGCCUCCCAGUGUUUAAUAUUUUAGUGUCUCACUGUUUCACCCAAGUCCCCAAUGGAACUACCCAUAUGACAAUCUGUCUGUGCCUUAUGGAAGUGAGUGUGUGUGUGUGUCUGUGUCUGUGUGUGUGCACUUUUAUCCUUUAAAGUGCAACCCUUCAAUGUGGACAAGAAGCUAGCAGAUGCGGUUGGGCUCCAGACAUCAGCAGGGAGUCCCUGAGACCCUCUUGCGGAUUGCGGUUGGACUGAAAGUAUUCAUCCCCACCCAUCCCCACUAGCUGUGUACAGACCCUUUGAAACAUGUCUGUCCUUUCUGGUUCAAUACUGUGGCUCUCCAAUACUGUCUACUCUUUGGGGAACUGUACUAAAGGCCUGAGAGCUUGGGGAGUGAGCUUGGGAAGGGUUUGCGCUGGUCUUUGUGUGUUGUGUGUUCUGAUAUUUGUCUGUUUUUAUCUGUUUUAUAUUAACAUAACUUUCCUGUUUGAAAACAAAUAAAACUUUGGCUUGGUACAAAAA